UGUAGGGUUGAUGGUGGCCUUUGGGCAGGGAUCAGCCCAUCCUCAAAAGCCAGAGAAACAUGUUCAGCUUGCCUGUGACUCAUUCUUCCUCAGAAGAAGACUGUUUUUUCCUUCAAAAAAUCACAGACUUCCACCUUCAGACAAUAACGUGUUCUUAGGAAGUUACGUGUUUUGUUUUCUGUGCAAGCUGCAGGGGGUUUGUUUGCUUUAGGGCUGUUUUACUGGAAUUGAGUUUGUGGGCCACAGUGCCUCACAGAUGUGGCUGACACCUAACUGAAGUGGCCAGAUAUGGCAAAUAAAAAAUACAGGACAUGCCACUAAAUUUGAGUUUCAGAUAAACAACAAAUACUUUUUAUUUAUUUAGUCUAAAAGUAUUUCCAUGCAAUUUUUGGGACAUAGUUAGAAUUAUAAAAAAAUUUUUUUUUUUUUGUUUCUCUGAACUUCAGAUUUAAUCUGUAUUUUACUUGGCAAUACUGUUCUGAAGUCCAGCAGUGGCCCCUGGGCAUGCUGUUCCUGGCACCAAGUCCCACUGGGUCCUGAUCUCUGGCUCCAAUCCCCAACUCCAUUGACCCCAGGGAGAUCUCAGCCACUGGCCCAACUCUGCCUGUGCCCUUGGAAUUGGGUUUUAGAGACCUCAAGCCACAGCCAGGAUUCCAUCUGAGCUGUAGAGCAGCCAGAGGCCCACUCCCUUAACCUUGCUGGUCCCUCCAUCUGCAGCAACCCUCCUC
Molecule: long non-coding RNA, 728 nt
Filed under: Marmota monax (woodchuck)
Lineage: Eukaryota; Metazoa; Chordata; Mammalia; Rodentia; Sciuridae
Source: RNAcentral